Non-coding RNA from Vararia minispora EC-137, 84 nucleotides. NCBI's taxonomy places the organism in Eukaryota, Fungi, Basidiomycota, Agaricomycetes, Russulales, Lachnocladiaceae. The record is from the annotation of a GenBank genome assembly.
UCUCUGGUAGUAUAUCGGAUAGUACACCCGCCUGUCAAGUGCACCUAACCGCGGGAGAGCGGGGUUCGACUCCCCGCCAGAGAG